RNAcentral lists this ribosomal RNA (2225 nucleotides) under metagenome. RNAcentral's name for it is "bacterial LSU rRNA". It matches the Rfam family "Bacterial large subunit ribosomal RNA", at positions 41 to 2305 of the family's 2925-position model. The record is from RNAcentral.
GACAGGCGAUGAAGGACGUGGAAGUCUGCGAUAAGCUCGGUUAAGCUGACAACAAGCGCUAUAAACCGAGAUUUCCGAAUGGGGAAACCCGACCAUAAGGUCAUCUUUAUUUGAAUACAUAGAAUAAAGAAGCAAACCUAGGGAACUGAAACAUCUAAGUACCUAGAGGAAAAGAAAUCAACCGAGAUUCUCCGAGUAGUGGCGAGCGAAAGGGGAAAAGCCCUAAACUGAAAACCUUUCUAAGAAAAUAUUCUGGAAAGAAUAGCCAUAGAUGGUGAUAGCCCAGUAUCUUAAAGAAGAGUUUUCAUUAAUUGAGUAGAGCGGAGCACGUGAAACUCUGUUUGAACAUGGGGGGACCACCCUCCAAGGCUAAAUACUCGUCUUCGACCGAUAGUGAACCAGUACCGUGAGGGAAAGGCGAAAAGAACCCCGGGAGGGGAGUGAAAUAGAACCUGAAAUCACAUACCUACAAGCAGUCAGAGUCUCGUAUGAGAUGAUGGCGUACCUUUUGUAUAAUGGGUCAGCGACUUAUUCUCAGUAGCAAGGUUAACCGUACAGGGGAGCCGUAGGGAAACCGAGUCUUAACCGGCGUAAGUUUCUGGGAGUAGACCCGAAACCAGGCGAUCUAUCCAUGGACAGGGUGAAAGCAAGGUAACACUUGCUGGAGGCCCGAACCGGGUAAUGUUGCAAAAUUAUCGGAUGAUCUGUGGAUCGGAGUGAAAGGCUAAUCAAGCCUGGAGAUAGCUGGUUCUCUUCGAAAGCUAUUUAGGUAGCGCCUCAUAUGAAUACUCUCGGGGGUAGAGCACUGUUAUGGCUAGGGGGUCGUCAAGAUUUACCAAACCAUGGCAAACUCCGAAUACCGAGAAGUAAUGUAUGGGAGACANACUGCGGGUGCUAACGUCCGUAGUGGAAAGGGAAACAACCCAGACCGCCAGCUAAGGUCCCAAAGUUAUAGCUAAGUGGGAAACGAUGUGGGAAGGCUCAUAGACAGCCAGGAGGUUGGCUUAGAAGCAGCCAUCCUUUAAAGAAAGCGUAAUAGCUCACUGUUCGAGUCGGCCUGCGCGGAAGAUUUAACGGGGCUAAGCUAUACACCGAAGCUGCGGACUUGUUUUUAUUAAGGCAAGUGGUAGGAGAGCGUUCUGUAGGUCGUUGAAGGUAAACUGAGAAGUUUGCUGGAGAUAUCAGAAGUGCGAAUGCUGACAUGAGUAACGUUAAAGGAGGUGAAAAACCUCCUCGCCAAAAAUCCAAGGUUUCCUACGCAACGUUAAUCGGCGUAGGGUUAGUCGGCCCCUAAGGCGAGGCAGAAAUGCGUAGUCGAUGGGAAACAGGUUAAUAUUCCUGUACUGUUUCUAACUGCGAUGGAGUGACGAAGAAGGCUAAAUCAGCCACCUAUCGGAUGGUGGUUUAAGCAUGUAGGGAGAGUUCUUAGGAAAAUCCGGGAACUUAAUUCUGAGGUGUGAUGACGAGCUCUUUUUAAGAGCAUAAGUGAUUGAUGCCAUACUUCCGGGAAAAACUUCUAAGCUUAGGUUAGAUACAACCGUACCCCAAACCAACACUGGUGGAUGAGUAGAGCAUACUAAGGCGCUUGGGAGAACUCAGGUGAAGGAACUAGGCAAAAUAGCACCGUAACUUCGGGAGAAGGUGUGCCCUAAGUCAGUGAACAGACUUGCUCUGGAAGCUAAAAAGGGUUGCAAUAACAAGGUGGCUGCGACUGUUUAUCAAAAACACAGCACUCUGCAAACGCGCAAGCGGAAGUAUAGGGUGUGACGCCUGCCCGGUGCCGGAAGGUUAAUUGAUGGGGUUAGCAAUUUAUGUUGUGAAGCUCUUGAUCGAAGCCCCGGUNGAACGGCGGCCGUUAACNAUAACGGUCCUAAGGUAGCGAAAUUCCUUGUCGGGUAAGUUCCGACCCGCACGAAUGGCGUAACGAUGGCCACACUGUCUCCACCUGAGACCCAGUGAAGUUGAAAUUGCUGUUAAGAUGCAGUGUACCCGCGGCUAGACGGAAAGACCCCGUGAACCUUUACUACAGCUUUACACUGAACUUUGAACCUGUUUGUGUAGGAUAGGUGGGAGACUUUGAAGCUAUCACGCUAGUGAUAGUGGAGUCGUCCUUGAAAUACCACCCUAACAUGUUUGGAGUUCUAACCUCGGUCUGUUAUCCAGACUAGGGACCGUGUAUGGUGGGUAGUUUGACUGGGGCGGUCUCCUCCCAAAGAGUAACGGAG